Thunnus maccoyii (southern bluefin tuna) is the source of this 715-nucleotide long non-coding RNA. RefSeq lists it as uncharacterized. The record is from RefSeq and is a predicted model, not a curated record. The transcript is spliced from 2 exons. Lineage: Eukaryota; Metazoa; Chordata; Actinopteri; Scombriformes; Scombridae.
UCCAUCCAAAAGGAGGCUUUGAAGGGGAAGUACCACGGUGCUGGGAUGCCAUAUUUUCCUGAUGGACAAAAAAGAACCAAAGAUCUCACUGCUACGGUUUACCUGGGAAGACCAUACGGAUGUAACCCCCGACGAUGAAGUAGAGCAUGGAGUCGAUGAGCAUCAGCCAGCAAAGCCAACCAAACGAGGCUGUGUCUCCAGCCAUGGGCGAGGUGUAUGAGUUGCUCCACUGAAUUCCUGAAGAAGUCAACAGAGGAAAUGUUUUAUUUUGCCUCCCAUUUACUCAAUUGUCUUUUAUGUCAAAGAGAUCUUCUUUUAUGCUAGUCAGACACUCUAGUACCUUCUCCUUGGGACUCGUAGCGAGAGAUAUAUUGACUGGCGUAACUGAAACAGGUCGGGGAAAAUAAACUCUGCGGGAAAAAGAGAAUCAAAUUGGACAGGAUACCAAAACAGAAGCAAUAACAAAAAAAAGAAAUACAAACAAAUAAACAGUAGCCUCUUUUUUCCGCCAUGCCUUUUUGUAAUUUCUGUAAUUUGACCACUCUAUGGUAUGAAGUGAUAUACUUCAAAAGCCUUUCCUGACAUGAUAUGAAUCAUUUCGAUCAAAGUAAGGCUUUAGAUGAGUGGGAUGAAGUUAUGUUAAAUAAAAAAUGAAUUGUCUGACCUCAAAUUAAUGAUCAUUAGAUGUCAAGCACAAUAAAUUGUUGUAAAUUCA